RNAcentral lists this ribosomal RNA (497 nucleotides) under uncultured bacterium. Its description in RNAcentral is "partial 16S ribosomal RNA". It matches the Rfam family "Bacterial small subunit ribosomal RNA", at positions 28 to 507 of the family's 1533-position model. The record is from RNAcentral.
GAUGAACGCUGGCGGCGUGCCUAAUACAUGCAGGUCGAGCGAACAGACGAAGAGCUUGCUCCUCUGACGUUAGCGGCGGACGGGUGAGUAACACGUGGAUAACCUACCUAUAAGACUGGGAUAACUUCGGGAAACCGGAGCUAAUACCGGAUAAUAUAUUGAACCGCAUGGUUCAAUAGUGAAAGACGGUUUUGCUGUCACUUAUAGAUGGAUCCGCGCCGCAUUAGCUAGUUGGUAAGGUAACGGCUUACCAAGGCAACGAUGCGUAGCCGACCUGAGAGGGUGAUCGGCCACACUGGAACUGAGACACGGUCCAGACUCCUACGGGAGGCAGCAGUAGGGAAUCUUCCGCAAUGGGCGAAAGCUUGACGGAGCAACGCCGCGUGAGUGAUGAAGGUCUUCGGAUCGUAAAACUCUGUUAUUAGGGAAGAACAAAUGUGUAAGUAACUAUGCACGUCUUGACGGUACCUAAUCAGAAAGCCACGGCUAACUACGUG